CCAGACUCCUACGGGAGGCAGCAGUGAGGAAUAUUGGUCAAUGGUCGGGAGACUGAACCAGCCAAGCCGCGUGAGGGAGGAAGGUACAGAGUAUCGUAAACCUCUUUUGUCAGGGAACAAAGGCGGGGACGUGUCCCCGGAUGAGUGUACCUGAAGAAAAAGCAUCGGCUAACUCCGUGCCAGCAGCCGCGGUAAUACGGAGGAUGCGAGCGUUAUCCGGAUUUAUUGGGUUUAAAGGGUGCGUAGGCGGAAUGCCAAGUCAGCGGUAAAAUCGCGGGGCUCAACCUCGCUCCGCCGUUGAAACUGAUGUUCUUGAGUGGGCGAGAAGUAUGCGGAAUGCGUGGUGUAGCGGUGAAAUGCAUAGAUAUCACGCAGAACUCCGAUUGCGAAGGCAGCAUACCGGCGCCCAACUGACGCUGAAGCACGAAAGCGUGGGUAUCGAACAGGAUUAGAUACCCCCGUA
Molecule: ribosomal RNA, 463 nt
Filed under: uncultured bacterium
Lineage: Bacteria
Description: bacterial SSU rRNA
Rfam family: Bacterial small subunit ribosomal RNA
Source: RNAcentral